UUAGUGGCGAACGGGUGAGUAACGCGUAGACAACCUGCCUUCUAGAUGGGGACAACGUUCCGAAAGGAACGCUAAUACCGAAUGUCCUAUCGAAUCCGCAUGGAAAUGAUAGCAAAGGUGGCCUCUUAACAAUGCUACCGCUAGAAGAUGGGUCUGCGUCUGAUUAGCUAGUUGGUGAGGUAACGGCUCACCAAGGUGACGAUCAGUAGCCGGUCUGAGAGGAUGAACGGCCACACUGGGACUGAGACACGGCCCAGACUCCUACGGGAGGCAGCAGUGGGGAAUCUUCCGCAAUGGACGAAAGUCUGACGGAGCAACGCCGCGUGAGUGAAGAAGGUUUUCGGAUCGUAAAGCUCUGUUUUCAGGGACGAACGGCAGAAAUAUGAAUAAUAUAUCUGCAUGACGGUACCUGAGGAGGAAGCCACGGCUAACUACGUGCCAGCAGCCGCGGUAAUACGUAGUGGCAAGCGUUGUCCGGAAUUAUUGGGCGUAAAAGGGCGUGUAGCGGGAUAAUAAGUCUGUUGUAAAAGUGCGGGGCUCACCCCGUACGUCAAUGGAAACUGUUAUUCUUGAUGCAGGAGAGGAAAGUGGAGUCCAGUGUAGCGGGUGAAAUGCGUAGAUAUUUG
This 626-nucleotide ribosomal RNA is filed under the name uncultured bacterium. Its description in RNAcentral is "bacterial SSU rRNA". It matches the Rfam family "Bacterial small subunit ribosomal RNA", at positions 92 to 700 of the family's 1533-position model. The record is from RNAcentral.